Molecule: unclassified non-coding RNA, 296 nt
Filed under: uncultured fungus
Lineage: Eukaryota; Fungi
Description: sequence contains ITS1
Source: RNAcentral
GUGGACUACAAGGGUUUCUAAUCCUGUUUGCUACCCACGCUUUCGUGCAUGAGCGUCAGUAUCGGCCCAGGGGGCUGCCUUCGCCAUCGGUGUUCCUCCACAUCUCUACGCAUUUCACUGCUACACGUGGAAUUCCACCCCCCUCUGCCGUACUCUAGCCUCGCAGUCACAAAGGCAGUUCCCAGGUUGAGCCCGGGGAUUUCACCUCUGUCUUACGAAACCGCCUGCGCACGCUUUACGCCCAGUAAUUCCGAUUAACGCUCGCACCCUACGUAUUACCGCGGCGGCUGGCACUU